AGAGCGAACGCUGGCGGCAGGCCUAAUACAUGCAAGUCGAGCGGCCACUUCGGUGGCAGCGGCGGACGGGUGAGUAACGCGUGGGAAUGUGCCCUUUGGUACGGAACAACUGAGGGAAACUUCAGCUAAUACCGUAUGUGCCCUUCGGGGGAAAGAUUUAUUGCCAUUGGAGCAGCCCGCGUUGGAUUAGCUAGUUGGUGGGGUAAAGGCCCACAAGGCGACGAUCCAUAGCUGGUCUGAGAGGAUGAUCAGCCACACUGGGACUGAGACACGGCCCAGACUCCUACGGGAGGCAGCAGUAGGGAAUCUGCGCAAUGGGCGAAAGCCUGACGCAGCCAUGCCGCGUGAAUGAUGAAGGCCUUAGGAUUGUAAAAUUCUUUACACCGGGGAAGAGUAAUGACGGUACCGGAGAAGAACGCCCGCUAACUUCGCGCCAGCAGCCGC
RNAcentral lists this ribosomal RNA (444 nucleotides) under uncultured soil bacterium. RNAcentral describes it as "bacterial SSU rRNA". It matches the Rfam family "Bacterial small subunit ribosomal RNA", at positions 26 to 518 of the family's 1533-position model. The record is from RNAcentral.